RNAcentral lists this ribosomal RNA (399 nucleotides) under cf. Pseudoceratina arabica GW3578. Its description in RNAcentral is "partial 28S large subunit ribosomal RNA". The record is from RNAcentral. Lineage: Eukaryota; Metazoa; Porifera; Demospongiae.
GCGAUGAGGCCGGCUCGGUCCUCUGUGGAGACAGGCGGAUCGAUGAGCGCCCUCUGGCGGAGGGAUCCCCUCGGGACCCGUCGCCGGUGGGACCGCUCGUCGCUCUCGACCGCACUCCCGCGUGGACCAGUCAGCGGCAGUUUUCGCUGCGCCGUGCGCCCUGCGGGGCAGUUGGCCGAGUCCUUCGGGUCUCGGUGCUGGCCCCUGGGGCGCGACGCGGCGGAGACUGAGGAGAGUGGCGGCCCUCGCCCGAGCAGCGCAAGCCACAGGGCCGGACGGCUGCGACGACUGCGUCGGACCGGUGGGGACUGCGUGCAGUGCCCGCUGAGCGAGACGGAGGCGUCGCGGUGCAGUCACGAUGUGCGCUGAGGUCGCUGGCGCCUAGCCGGUCCCAUCCGA